This is a long non-coding RNA of Arachis duranensis, 1230 nucleotides long. RefSeq lists it as uncharacterized. The transcript is spliced from 3 exons. Lineage: Eukaryota; Viridiplantae; Streptophyta; Magnoliopsida; Fabales; Fabaceae. The record is from RefSeq and is a predicted model, not a curated record.
UAUCGAAGUUUUAUUAUUUAGUGAAUAAUGAAAGAGAUCAUAUUGUGCGAGGAGAACUAGGGACAGUGAGGAAUUAGGGUAUGAGGAGAAUGAGCUACUGCCAUCAGUGCAUGAAGAAAUGUUGAUCAGCUCAAAUGGACAGCUGGCAAGCAAUCCGCUAAUCCAGGGACUGAGAAAGAGCAAAAGGGAGAGGGCUACUAAUAGCUGGCUAAGGGACUUUGUCCGUUAGCUUUGUGGUACUUGGGGGAAAAGGGCUCAUCAUGUCUCAUUCAGAUAUUCUCACAUCUCAUUCUUCGUUCAUCAUUUUCUAUUAUAGUAUACGUCAUUGAAUUCCACCGUAUUGAUUUCAUGCACACGUACUUUCCUUUGGUAUUGGCACUAUACUAUACUACAGUUAGCCCUUUUAUACGUUAUUUAUAAAUCCCCACAUUGCACCCUUCCAUAUUGUAAACUUCCUUACUGUUUUAAGGGUAGUGAUAUAAAAUAGAAAUAGUUGAUUGGAAACUCUUCAAAGAAAUUAAAAUCAUAUAAAAACAAGCAACAUAAGCCACAUUUUUCUUUAUGCAUUUUAAGUGAUCUAUGUUCCAAACAGUCAAACACUACACAGUAUGUUCAAAACUCUAGCACACAGAGAAACAUGAAUGCUAAUAUAACAGUCAGAAAUGCACAUAUAUUCAAUUUUUAUCAUUCAUUAUGCAAGCAUAUAUAUGGGAUCCAUGUUCACAGCUUUGAAUGUGUGCAUUUAAGGAUAGGGGAGAUAGAAUGAGAAACCUUGAAGGACGGAUUUAACAGCUGCAUUAGGAACAAGAACGCCAACUAUAUGCUGGUUAUCAGCAGAAGUCUCAAUGCGAACAACACGUAGCCUCCUAUGGUUUCGGCGCAACUGUACAGAUUUAAAUCUGUAGAUGAGUAUUUCUUUUACAUAAGCAUAUGUAGAUUUAGAGAUGUAAAUUCUGAUGUAGAGUCCAAAAAGGCAUCAUAGCAGUUACAUGUAACAUCAAGAAAAAAAUUUUAGCAAUGCUCUCCAUAGAUUCAAAAACCACUGCCUCACAUGAUCAAACUCUUGUGGUGGAAGAAGGAACUUGUUCACAGUUGAAAAGUUUCUAUGCUAAAUGCCAUUGGCUACUAUUUCCAUACUGCAAAGCUCACCAUUUACUUACCAGCUUAGAAAGGGCCUAUUUAAUCAUUGAACCAAAGAGAUUUAUUACAUACUGGUUAAAUACCUGAUUA